GACGAACGCUGGCGGCGCGCUUAACACAUGCAAGUCGAACGGAAAGGCCUGCUUUCCCUUGUGGAUUGCGGGUACUCGAGUGGCGAACGGGUGAGUAACACGUGAGUGAUCUGCCCCCAACUUGGGUAUAAGCCUGGGAAACUGGGUCUAAUUCCCGAUAGGACUGCAGGGUGGUGCCUGUGGUGGAAAACGAUUUUCUAGUGGUUGGGGAUGAGCUCGCGGCCUAUCAGCUUGUUGGUGGGGUAAUGGCCUACCAAGGCGGCGACGGGUAGCCGGCCUGGGAGGGUGGACGGCCACAUUGGGACUGAGAUACGGCCCAGACUCCUACGGGAGGCAGCAGUGGGGAAUAUUGCACAAUGGGCGGAAGCCUGAUGCAGCGACGCCGCGUGGGGGAUGACGGCCCUCGGGUUGUAAACUCCUUUCGACCGCGAGGAAGCCACCUGGUUGGAAGGGUGGUGACGGUAGUGGUAGAAGAAGCACCGGCUAACUACGUG
RNAcentral lists this ribosomal RNA (494 nucleotides) under uncultured bacterium. RNAcentral's name for it is "partial 16S ribosomal RNA". It matches the Rfam family "Bacterial small subunit ribosomal RNA", at positions 28 to 507 of the family's 1533-position model. The record is from RNAcentral.